Molecule: transfer RNA, 72 nt
Filed under: Chthoniobacterales bacterium
Lineage: Bacteria; Pseudomonadati; Verrucomicrobiota; Spartobacteria; Chthoniobacterales
Description: tRNA-Met
Rfam family: tRNA
About the family: Transfer RNA (tRNA) molecules are approximately 80 nucleotides in length. Their secondary structure includes four short double-helical elements and three loops (D, anti-codon, and T loops).
Source: RNAcentral
AGCAGGGUAGCGCAGCGGUAGAGCGCCAGACUCAUAAUCUGGAGGUCGCGGGUUCGAAUCCCGCCCCUGCAA